GAGUUUGAUCUUGGCUCAGAUUGAACGCUGGCGGCAUGCCUUACACAUGCAAGUCGAGCGGCAGCGCGGGGGUAACCCUGGCGGCGAGCGGCGAACGGGUGAGUAAUACAUCGGAACGUGUCCAGUAGUGGGGGAUAGCUCGGCGAAAGCCGGAUUAAUACCGCAUACGAUCUACGGAUGAAAGCGGGGGACCGCAAGGCCUCGCGCUAUUGGAGCGGCCGAUGUCGGAUUAGCUAGUUGGCGGGGUAAAAGCCCACCAAGGCGACGAUCCGUAGCUGGUCUGAGAGGACGACCAGCCACACUGGAACUGAGACACGGUCCAGACUCCUACGGGAGGCAGCAGUGGGGAAUUUUGGACAAUGGGGGCAA
RNAcentral lists this ribosomal RNA (369 nucleotides) under uncultured beta proteobacterium. RNAcentral's name for it is "bacterial SSU rRNA". It matches the Rfam family "Bacterial small subunit ribosomal RNA", at positions 9 to 380 of the family's 1533-position model. The record is from RNAcentral. Lineage: Bacteria; Pseudomonadati; Pseudomonadota; Betaproteobacteria.